AGAGUUUGAUCAUGGCUCAGGACGAACGCUGGCGGCGUGCUUAACACAUGCAAGUCGAACGAACUAUAGCAAUAUGGUUAGUGGCGCACGGGUGAGUAACACGUGACCAACCUUCCUUAGACUGUGGGAUAACGACGGGAAACUGUCGCUAAUACCGCAUAUUGAGCGUGAGUGGCAUCAUUUACGCUUGAAAGAUUUAUCGGUCUAAGAUGGGGUCGCGCCCUAUUAGCUUGUUGGUGAGGUAACGGCUCACCAAGGCGACGAUGGGUAGCUGGUCUGAGAGGAUGAUCAGCCACACUGGGACUGAGAUACGGCCCAGACUCCUACGGGAGGCAGCAGUGAGGAAUAUUGCGCAAUGGGCGAAAGCCUGACGCAGCAACGCCGCGUGAAGGAUGAAGGUGCUUUGCAUUGUAAACUUCUGUAGAGAGGGAAGAAUCCCCGACUUGUUCGGGAUGACGGUACCUCUAAAGAGACAG
This 476-nucleotide ribosomal RNA is filed under the name uncultured Malonomonas sp. RNAcentral's name for it is "bacterial SSU rRNA". It matches the Rfam family "Bacterial small subunit ribosomal RNA", at positions 8 to 492 of the family's 1533-position model. Lineage: Bacteria; Pseudomonadati; Thermodesulfobacteriota; Desulfuromonadia; Desulfuromonadales; Geopsychrobacteraceae. The record is from RNAcentral.